Molecule: ribosomal RNA, 443 nt
Filed under: uncultured bacterium
Lineage: Bacteria
Description: partial 16S ribosomal RNA
Rfam family: Bacterial small subunit ribosomal RNA
Source: RNAcentral
CCUACGGGUGGCAGCAGUGGGGAAUAUUGGACAAUGGGCGCAAGCCUGACCCAGCAACGCCGCGUGAAGGAAGAAGGCUUUCGGGUUGUAAACUUCUUUUAUCAGGGACGAAGCAAAUGACGGUACCUGAAGAAUAAGCCACGGCUAACUACGUGCCAGCAGCCGCGGUAAUACGUAGGGGGCAAGCGUUAUCCGGAAUUACUGGGUGUAAAGGGCGUGUAGGCGGGACUGUAAGCCAGAUGUGAAAGCCAUGGGCUCAACCCGAGGAUUGCAUUUGGAACUGUAGAUCUAGAGUACUGGAGAGGAAGGCGGAAUUCCUAGUGUAGCGGUGAAAUGCGUAGAUAUUAGGAGGAACACCAGUGGCGAAGGCGGCUUGCUGGACAGAAACUGACGCUGAGGCACGAAAGCGUGGGGAGCAAACAGGAUUAGAUACCCGAGUAGUC